GCACUUAGCAUACCAAGACGUAGCUAUAACGUAAAAGCACUCAGCUUACACCUGAAAGAUACCUGCCACACACCAGGUCGUCUUGA
RNAcentral lists this transfer RNA (86 nucleotides) under Ptilinopus solomonensis. Its description in RNAcentral is "tRNA-Val". Lineage: Eukaryota; Metazoa; Chordata; Aves; Columbiformes; Columbidae. The record is from RNAcentral.